RNAcentral lists this long non-coding RNA (203 nucleotides) under Linum usitatissimum (flax). Its description in RNAcentral is "long non-coding RNA (LUSI_LNC000264)". Lineage: Eukaryota; Viridiplantae; Streptophyta; Magnoliopsida; Malpighiales; Linaceae. The record is from RNAcentral.
CCGCGGCCGCCGAAAUGUACGGUGCUGUGGAAGGAGCUGCUGAGGCUGAAGAAGCAGAGGCCCAGUGUUUCGUCUCUUUCCCCAUCUUCCUCUUCGUCGUCGACUUCGUCGUGUUCGAGCUCGCUCGGUGAUGCGGCGACCAAGGAGGAAUCAGGGAAAGGAGAGAAAGACAACAAUAAGGAGAGCAAUAAGAAAGGGAACCA